Molecule: long non-coding RNA, 2379 nt
Organism: Oncorhynchus keta (chum salmon)
Lineage: Eukaryota; Metazoa; Chordata; Actinopteri; Salmoniformes; Salmonidae
Exons: 3
Source: RefSeq, a predicted model, not a curated record
GAAAGAAAGAAAGAAAGAAAGAAAGAAAGAAAGAAAGAAAGAAAGAAAGAAAGAAAGAAAGGAACAAGUGGAGACAGAUGGAGAGGGAGAAGGGAAAAGAGAGAGAUGGAAAGAGAGAGAGAGAGAGAGAGAGAGAGAGAGAGAGAGAGAGAGAGAGAGAGAGAGAGAGAGAUUGCCAGUGAUAUAGAGGAUGGGAUAAAAACAUGUCCUCUGUGGGCAAAGGAGAAUCUCGAGCUGAUGCACGAUAAGAGAAGCUGAUACACGAUGAGAGAAGCUGAUACGCGAUGAGAGAAGCUGAUACGCGAUGAGAGAAGCUGAUACGUGAUGAUAGAAGCUGAUACGCGAUGAGAGAAGCUGAUACACAAUGAGAGAAGCUGAUACAUGCAGAAUCUGAAAGUUGUGCCCUGAGUAGCCACCUGAGACAUCGCCAUGGAGACGCAGCUGCAGGAGGAGCCUGACUGGGAGAGACUAACCACAGCUAGGCCUGCUGGGUCUCAGAAAAACAAAUAACAUUUGAAGGUAUUUGAAUAUAUGCAAGUCAUUUGAAAACAAAAAUAUAUAUUUAUUUGAUGGCUGACAAAUAUUUGUUUGAGAAUCAAAAACUACCACAGUUAGUUGAUCAUCAGCACAUGGUCUGGAAGGCUGUUAGACAUGCAUCUUAAUAUAGCCUACAGUUUAGAAUGAAAUACAUGAGGUGCUGUGCUUUGGCAAAGUGGGUGGGGUUAUAUCCUGCCUGACGGGGCCACAGUGUCUCCCGACCCCUCCUGUCUCAGCCUCCAGUAUUUAUGCUGCAGUAGUUUAUGUGUCGGGGGUUAGGGUCAGUCUGUAAAAUAUCUGGUCAGUCUGUUAUAUCUGGAGUAUUUCUCCUGUCUUAUCCGGUGUUCUGUGUGAAUUUAAGAAUGCUCUCUCUAAUUCUGUCUCUUUUUCUCUCUUUCUUUCUUUCUUUCUUUCUUUCUUUCUUUCUUUCUUUCUUUCUUUCUUUCUUUCUCUCUCUCGGAGGACCUGAGCCCUAGGACCAUGCCUCAGGACUGCCUGAUGACUCCUUGCUGUCCCCAGUCCACCUGGCCGUGCUGCUGCUCCAGUUUCAACUGUUCUGCCUGCGGCUAUGGAACCCUGACCUGUUCACCAGACGUGCUACCUGUCCCAGACCUGCUGUUUUCAACACUCUAGAGACAGCAGGAGCGGUAGAGAUAGUCUGAAUGAUCGGCUAUGAAAAGUCAACUGACAUUUAUUCCUGAGGUGCUGACCUGUUGCACCCUCGAAAACCACUGUGAUUAUUAUUAUUUGACCCUGCUUGUCAUCUAUGAACAUUUGAACAUCUUGGCCAUGCUCUGUUAUAAUCUCCACCCGGCACAGCCAGGACUGGCCACCCCUCAUAGCCUGGUUCCUCCCUAGGUUUCUUCCUAGGUUCUGGCCAUCCUAGGGAGUUUUUUCCUAGCCACCGUCCUUCUACACCUGCAUUGCUUGCUGUUUUGGGGUUUUAGGCUGGGUUUUUGUACAGCACUUCAUGACAUCCGCUGAUGUAAGAAGGGCUUUAUAAAUACAUUUGAUUUGAUUUGACAUGGAAUCACCAUUUUUGCUGCUUCAUGGUAACUAACAAAUCUAUUUUCCUAAUGAGUGACAUAAGGUUAUACAGUAACACUUGACAUCCAGUUCUUAGACAUGUGUAGUGAUUUUGGGAUUGUUACAAUAGCAAAACUGUUUGAUGGGACUUUGGAAAUGGCUUUAUAGCUGCAUAAUAAUGGAGAUAUUACAUACACUACUGUUAAAACGUUUGGUUCACUUAGAAAUGUCCUUGUUUUUGAAAGAAAAGCUUUUUUUUUGUCCAUUAAAAUAACAUAAAAUUGAUCAGAAAUACAGUGUAUACAUUGUUAAUGUUGUAAAUGACUAUUGUAGAUGGAAAUGGCAGAUUUUUUAUGGAAUAUCUACAUAGGCGUACAGAGGCCAAUUAUCAGCAACCAUCACUCCUGUGUUCCAAUGGCAAGUUGUGCUAGCUAAUCCAAGUUUAUCAUUUUAAAAGGCUAAUUGAUCAAUAUAAAACCCUUUUGCAAUUAUUUUUAGCAUAGCUUAAAACUGUUGUGCUGAUUAAAGAAGCAAGAAAACUGUCUUCAGACUAGUUGAAUAUCUGGAGCUUCAGAAUUUCUGGGUUCGAUUACAGGCUCAAAAUGGCCAGAAACAAAGAACUUUCUUCUGAAACUCGUCAGUCAAUUCUUGUGAAAAUCAAAUGGCUUUAAUUUUCUCUGAAGUAUUUUCGGGUAUCAUUAAAUGAAUUGCAGUUUUCAACCUUUUCAGUGGCAUGUUUAAAGAGUCAUACAGUAGUUGACCAUCACAACUUAUUUAUACUUCUCUGUACAAAAUAUAAUUGGUUGAUUGGUUUGA